AUAAAAAGCUUUUAACACAAAUACGAUGGAAAGCCACCAGAAACAUAUGAGUGGAGACAGGCACACUCUGACUUAUAUUUGAAAUGGAUUGCUCUGGCACUGUGGACAGAAAACUGUGUAAAUGUAUUUUCUCACAGUCCUGGAGGCUGGAGUCAGAGAUCAGGGUGCCAGCCUGGCUGGGUUCUGGUGGGGGCCCUCUUCCAGGCUUGCUCAUGACUGCCUUCUCUCACUGUGUCUCUCCCCUGUUGUUUGAGCCACAAAAUCUGUGGUAUUUUAUUAUCACAACCUGAGCUGCCUAGACAGGAUGUUAAGACUAGAUGAUCCGGGGAUCUCUUUUGGCUCCAAUAUUGCACAAUUUGAUAUAAUAUUUGAUAAUUUCUGUCUAAUUUUGUAAAAUUUCAUGCUAGCAAUGGAACUAAAGAAGUCUUUGUUUUAGAAUGUCCUUCUGAGAGUUAGGAAUGUAGAUCCAGGCUCCUUGGCUGUUUAGCAUCUCAGGCUGCAUUGUGAUGAGGAAGCAGACAGAAGAACUGGUAUCAAAGCCAAGUGUU
Molecule: non-coding RNA, 548 nt
Filed under: Pan troglodytes (chimpanzee)
Lineage: Eukaryota; Metazoa; Chordata; Mammalia; Primates; Hominidae
Source: RNAcentral